GCCAUUAGAGCUCAAGGAAAUUGCUGCUUUUACUGCAGCCAUUAACACCCACGACACAGCUCAGUCUGACCGUCCCCUGACCCUCUAUAAAAGCCUAGGACGCCGCCCAUAAUCUCCUCGUUCGAAGUCCUCUCCUUCGGGAGUAUAUCCCCCUUCUCAUCUCUGUAAAUUCCUCGCUGGAGUUCCGUGCUGCUACAGCCGUAUGCGCACAACCACGACGAGCACAAGUUUGGUUAGCGGAAGCACGCGCUCCAAGGCAUACACGACCGACCGCGGCUCCUCACGACUCCGGCAGCUUCCCCACCACGCCCGAGGAAGAGGACGAGCCAGCCGCGUUGUUCCCCGGGUCCGCCCCGACCUCCUCUCCACUGUCCUCCACUCACUGGUCUCCGGAGCCUGCCCGUCACCGGAACCCCGCGACGCCCUCACCACCACAGCCACCCGCCGCCUCGCCGGACUUCUUUUCCCGAUAUAUCGUAAAUUGAAGGAGUGACGAGAACGAAUAGAGAAUCAACUUCAGGAAUUAGAUCUUGAAAGAUUAAGAGAGGAUAGGGUUAUGGUCUACACUCAACGAGCCCAGUGGCGUUGAUGGAGCCCUAACUUAGCGACUACAUAUAAUUCUGAUGUAUUAUGUGCCAGCUCGAGCUC
This is a long non-coding RNA of Triticum aestivum (bread wheat), 648 nucleotides long. RefSeq lists it as uncharacterized. The transcript is spliced from 4 exons. The record is from RefSeq and is a predicted model, not a curated record. Lineage: Eukaryota; Viridiplantae; Streptophyta; Magnoliopsida; Poales; Poaceae.